Molecule: unclassified non-coding RNA, 1737 nt
Filed under: Leishmania donovani
Lineage: Eukaryota; Euglenozoa; Kinetoplastea; Trypanosomatida; Trypanosomatidae
Description: gene:LdHU3.34.6460(CDS-product:DHHC_palmitoyltran sferase_putative)
Source: RNAcentral
UCGCAGCCGUAACGCUUCCUUGGCGGCGGCCCACACAACCGCGAUCGUUGCUUGGGUGCACAUGAACGCCGACACCGCGCCGCUCAGCUUGGAGUGGGGGGGUAAGCGAGGGCGGCGCACCAUCUGCGGCUUCAACGUUGCGAGUGACUGCGUGGGAGGUCUCGUCCUGCUUAUUGGUAUCCCCGCACUCGUUGUAGCGCACCUUGCAGCUGUUGUGCUGACGCCACUCUUCGCUGCUUCCCACGACGGCAAUACACUUCUGUUGGAGGUGCUUCUUGAGCUGUUUCUUUGCAUGGGCGCCGUGGCGCUUCUUUUUCUUCUCCUCGUUGCCGAUCCCGGCUUUGUGGAGGUGCCCACAGCUCUAAGCUGCCGCUGCAGUCAUUGCGGCACUGAAGUAGACGACUUCGACCACCAUUGUGGUGCCGUGGGAGCGUGCAUCGGUAAGGGUAACAUGUGCUACUUUAUUCUGUUUCUGCUGUUCGCCGCGCUGCUUUGUGCUCUUGGAGCGGUGCAGAAUGCCGCCUUUGUCGCAGCCACCGCACGCGCGCACAUCCGUGACACGGGCCCUUCAUGGACAUCUAUCGCAGCGCUCAUCCAAACCGUCCUCACGGCGCUACGUUUGCCAAGAAUCCUGUGCUUACUUGUGCUAAGCGUGGCGGCCGUGAACGGGGGCGUGGUGUGCACAUUUCUCUGUCUCCGAUACACCUAUCUUGCUUACAAGGGGCUCAGCUCCGUGCGCCGGCGCAGACGGUUUGACGUUUCAGGCUCUCUCUCCAAGGUUUUCGCGAACACCUUUCGCCCAGCCUUCUCACAUAACUUUAUGCUUCCGCGAUACCACGCCUUAGCGGAUAUGUCCGACUGACGAGAAGCGCGCUGAGAGCUCUGAGACCCGCGUAUGGCCCGCAGUGUACCUCCUUCUCCCCUUCUCACUCUCGUCUGUGGCAUCGUGGUCGCCGAUUGCGCCGGGAGCAGUGACGUGUGUUUCCGAACGCUUUCUGGACUCGCUUAGCACGAGAGCUAGCGGGGCCCCCUCACUACGGAUUCACAUCCGCAAGCAAGCUUGUCCCCCUCGUAUUUUUUUUUUUCGGGGAGGGGGGGGAAGGGGAGAGAGGGCGGAGAGGUGUCAAGAUGGAAAACCGAAAAACGUCUGUGGCGCGUGCCGAAAGGAUGGAUGCUGCAGCUCAUCGUCCAUUUUCGAAGCAAGUGACGACCGGAGAGCGGCUGCCUCGUCAAAGCUUCUUUGACCGACGAUUGUGUGAGCGCGCCAUGUGCAGGCGACUGCACACUCUGCCCCCUCUUCAGCACUCUUGUCUCACGCGCGCCUGGCCGCAUUCCUGGCCAGCCGCUCAAGUUUUGGCGAGUACUGACAACGGUAUACUCUCCAUCGCGCGAAUUCUGAGUCGCGUUCGCGCGCUCUUCGGCAACCCCAACAGCGUCAACGCGCUCCCCUCCCUCGCGCUGCAUUACGUAGCUGUGCUGCGGCGUUUUCCACAGGAUGUGUGGAAGCGCGUCGCGUACACGGCCCGACGGAUACUCACAAAGUGGCCGUCUUUCAAGUGCGCGCCGCACAAAUCUGCUCUUUUUGCUAAGAAAAUAGCCCGGGUGUCUCCGCGCGCGGCAGCCAACGGUGAAGAGCACGGCUCAUCCCGACAUUGUUCUCGGAGGCCUUGGGAAUGGCUUGGGUAUCAUUUAGCUGUAUUCCACAGGAUUGCAGGGGAUCGCCACACAGACAUACAC